Molecule: non-coding RNA, 235 nt
Organism: Schizosaccharomyces pombe (fission yeast)
Lineage: Eukaryota; Fungi; Ascomycota; Schizosaccharomycetes; Schizosaccharomycetales; Schizosaccharomycetaceae
Source: the annotation of a GenBank genome assembly
GAGGCAGGAGUAAUAUGCUCCCGCCAGUUUAGAAAUGCAGAUGUGAGCCGUUGCGCCAUCGAUUGUGGUAAAGGGCAAGUGUAGUGAAGUGUCAUUCAUAAUACAGAUGCGCGGCAAGAACGUUAAUUGUCUUUGGAAAGCUUAUAAGAAACAAGUAUCACAUUUCAAAUUGCAAUUUUUAAAAGAAUAACUACAAUAAUUACUCAGUAGCAAUGAUCAAAACCGGGCAGUACGG